UACGUAGGGUGCGAGCGUUAAUCGGAAUUACUGGGCGUAAAGCGUGCGCAGGCGGUUUUGUAAGCCAGAUGUGAAAUCCCCCGGGCUUAACCUGGGAAUGGCAUUUGGGACUGCAAGGCUCGAGUGCGGCAGAGGAGACUGGAAUUCCUGGUGUAGCAGUGAAAUGCGUAGAUAUCAGGAGGAAUACCGAUGGCGAAGGCGGGUCUCUGGGCCGAUACUGACGCUGAGGAGCGAAAGCGUGGGGAGCGAACAGG
RNAcentral lists this ribosomal RNA (254 nucleotides) under uncultured bacterium. RNAcentral's name for it is "partial 16S ribosomal RNA". It matches the Rfam family "Bacterial small subunit ribosomal RNA", at positions 524 to 776 of the family's 1533-position model. The record is from RNAcentral.